Molecule: unclassified non-coding RNA, 376 nt
Filed under: soil metagenome
Description: partial contains 5.8S ribosomal RNA, internal transcribed spacer 2, and large subunit ribosomal RNA
Rfam family: 5.8S ribosomal RNA (bases 2-120)
Source: RNAcentral
CAUGAAGAACGCAGCGAAAUGCGAUAAGUAAUGUGAAUUGCAGAAUUCAGUGAAUCAUCGAAUCUUUGAACGCAUCUUGCGCUCCUUGGUAUUCUGAGGAGCAUGCCUGUUUGAGUGUCAUUAAAUUCUCAACUACACUGACUUUGAAUUGGUGUGGCUUGGAUUUGGGGGGAAAAUUGUUGUGGGCUUUUUGUAUAGUCUGCUCCCCUGAAAUUGAUUAGCGGUACCUUUGUGGAACUGUCUACAGGUGUGAUAAUUAUCUACAUCUUAGACAUCUGCUGGAAUGCUGCUUUCUAAACCUUACUUGUAUUGACAAUCUUGACCUCAAAUCAGGUAGGACUACCCGCUGAACUUAAGCAUAUCAAUAAGCGGAGGA